GAUGAACGCUGGCGGCGUGCCUAAUACAUGCAAGUCGAGCGAACAGACGAGGAGCUUGCUCCUCUGACGUUAGCGGCGGACGGGUGAGUAACACGUGGAUAACCUACCUAUAAGACUGGGAUAACUUCGGGAAACCGGAGCUAAUACCGGAUAAUAUAUUGAACCGCAUGGUUCAAUAUUGAAAGACGGUUUUGCUGUCACUUAUAGAUUGAUCCGCGCCGCAUUAGCUAGUUGGUAAGGUAACGGCUUACCAAGGCAACGAUGCGUAGCCGACCUGAGAGGGUGAUCGGCCACACUGGAACUGAGACACGGUCCAGACUCCUACGGGAGGCAGCAGUAGGGAAUCUUCCGCAAUGGGCGAAAGCUUGACGGAGCAACGCCGCGUGAGUGAUGAAGGUCUUCGGAUCGUAAAACUCUGUUAUUAGGGAAGAACAAAUGUGUAAGUAACUAUGCACGUCUUGACGGUACCUAAUCAGAAAGCCACGGCUAACUACGUG
RNAcentral lists this ribosomal RNA (497 nucleotides) under uncultured bacterium. RNAcentral describes it as "partial 16S ribosomal RNA". It matches the Rfam family "Bacterial small subunit ribosomal RNA", at positions 28 to 507 of the family's 1533-position model. The record is from RNAcentral.